CUCACAGGUUUAAUCUCUUCAAAUGGGAGGAUCGCUCCCCAAAAAGAAAUGCUAUGGCGCUAUUGGGGGAAACAAGUAGAGAGCGGAGCCUAUCAACAGCGGGGGUGAAGGAGGGUACUUCCGCUUGGAUUGGCCAAUCGCUGAGGUGGGGCAGUUUCUAUAAAAGGUUGAACCUCAGCCUUUCUCUUUCUUUCCGGAUAAAUUUCAAUGCUGGGCGGAGUGUUCUCUGUGUGCUACGCUUGGAGAGGAAUUGAGCACCCAGUGAAGCUGCGAAGCUGCGGGGGUCGCCCAGCCCGGGGGCCAGCCGCGGCCUGAGCGCCUCUGUGGCCCUCGGCAUUGUAGCGAAUUCCUUCCCUGCUCCCCUCCCCAGUUCCGGCAGAGAAGUCGGGACCUCAGGACCUACGGCUCCCUACAAGUGCCAUCGGUGGCCUGGUUGGAGACUUUGAAUGUAAAUCAACAUCAAUCAGUUCAGGGACCUGGUGGUCAACACUGGACUCCAGGACGACCUUACAACCCCUGGCUGACCCCGCAAGCAAUUUUACAGUAUUUUCCGGCGUAUAAGACGACUUUUGGGGG
Pipistrellus kuhlii (Kuhl's pipistrelle) is the source of this 576-nucleotide long non-coding RNA. RefSeq lists it as uncharacterized. Lineage: Eukaryota; Metazoa; Chordata; Mammalia; Chiroptera; Vespertilionidae. The record is from RefSeq and is a predicted model, not a curated record. The transcript is spliced from 3 exons.